CGGGGAAGUUUGGCCUUUAAAAAUCAAACUGCCAUGGACACUGCUUUACCCAAAAUUUUGGUUCAUAUUCUUCACUGGAUUAACUAUUGGGGCAAACAACGUAUAACCAUGUAAAACCAGUACGCUUGUAUUGGCAUUUCAUGGCUAGAGUUCUAAGUCACAAGCACCUCUUCGGCAAAGCCCACCUCCCUCUCUCGCUUGAUUCCCCGGCCAUCCUUAUCAAAGACCUUCCAGGUGAACAGGCAGCCAUCCUCAGCAGCAGUCAGCAGGAACUGAUCAUCAAAGAAAUGAGGAUAAAAUAAAGUCAUUUUCAGACAAAAACUGGGAGAAUUUAUUAAUACAUUAUCAGUAAAUGCAGAAGGAAAAUGAUCCCAGCUGGAAUAUCUGAUUUGUAAAGAGUAACGGUGGGAAAAAGUUUGACAGGGUCUUGCUUGGUUUCCCAGGCUGGAGUGCAGUGGCGCGAUCUUGGCUCACCACAACCUCUGCCUCCUAGGUUCAAGAAGUUCUCCUGCUUCAGCCUCCCGAGUAGCUGGGACUACAGGCACGUGCCACCACGCCCAGCUGAUUUUUGUAUUUUUAGUAGAGACGGGGUUUCACUAUGUUGGUGAGGAUGGUCUUGAUCUCUUGACCUCGUGAUCUGCCCACCUUGGCCUCCCAAAGUGCUGGAAUUACAGGCAUGAGCCACCGCACCCGGCCAGAUGUCAAUUUUUAUUGCCCCUAAUCAACACUGUCUGGAGGUGCUUACCAGCACAGUGAUUUCCUGAAGGAAAUAUAAUGAUCUGUUCAUCGAAGUAGAAGAUAUUGUUGGCCACGUGGGAUCGAAGACCAAAAACAUGCAGCGUCUGAGCUACCACGGCUGACAUGAUCUCCCGCCAAAGAGUUCUGCUGAAGACCAAGGCAGCACUUCAGAGUGGAGAGCACCGCCCCGCUCCGACCCCGCCCCCGCCCGGACACGCCCCG
Molecule: long non-coding RNA, 960 nt
Filed under: Pan troglodytes (chimpanzee)
Lineage: Eukaryota; Metazoa; Chordata; Mammalia; Primates; Hominidae
Description: long non-coding RNA NONPTRT000999
Source: RNAcentral